Molecule: ribosomal RNA, 397 nt
Filed under: uncultured bacterium
Lineage: Bacteria
Description: partial 16S ribosomal RNA
Rfam family: Bacterial small subunit ribosomal RNA
Source: RNAcentral
AUACGUAGGUGGCAAGCGUUGUCCGGAUUUAUUGGGCGUAAAGCGAGCGCAGGCGGUCUCUUAAGUCUGAUGUGAAAGCCCCCGGCUCAACCGGGGAGGGUCAUUGGAAACUGGGAGACUUGAGUGCAGAAGAGGAGAGUGGAAUUCCAUGUGUAGCGGUGAAAUGCGUAGAUAUAUGGAGGAACGCCAGUGGCGAAGGCGGCUCUCUGGUCUGUAACUGACGCUGAGGCUCGAAAGCGUGGGGAGCAAACAGGAUUAGAUACCCUGGUAGUCCACGCCGUAAACGAUGAGUGCUAAGUGUUGGAGGGUUUCCGCCCUUCAGUGCUGCAGCUAACGCAUUAAGCACUCCGCCUGGGGAGUACGGCCGCAAGGCUGAAACUCAAAUGAAUUGACGGGG